Molecule: ribosomal RNA, 319 nt
Filed under: uncultured eukaryote
Lineage: Eukaryota
Description: partial 18S ribosomal RNA
Rfam family: Eukaryotic small subunit ribosomal RNA
Source: RNAcentral
CCCUUAGAUGUUCUGGGCAGCACGCGCGCUACAAUGGUCUUCGCAAACGGAUGCAUUCUCGAAGGAGAAUGCCAAUCUUGGAAUCUAUGCCUUGGUCGGGACAGUUGCUUGCAAUUUUUCGACUCGAACCAGGAAUUCCUUGUAAUCGUGAUUCAUCACAUCACGAUGAAUACGUCCCUGCCCUUUGUACACACCGCCCGUCGCUCCUACCGAUCGAAGAGUUAGGUGAAUUGUUUUGAUCGAUAAGAUUUGACUAUGGUCAACUCUCGUUGUGAAAUUCUCUGAAUCUGACUGUUUAGAGGAAGGAAAAGUCGUAACA